GUUGACCUCGGAUCAGGUAGGGAUACCCGCUGAACUUAAGCAUAUCAAUAAGCGGAGGAAAAGAAACCAACAGGGAUUGCUCUAGUAACGGCGAGUGAAGCAGCAAUAGCUCAAAUUUGAAAUCUGGCGUCUUCGACGUCCGAGUUGUAAUUUGUAGAGGAUGCUUCUGAGUAACCACCGACCUAAGUUCCUUGGAACAGGACGUCAUAGAGGGUGAGAAUCCCGUA
Molecule: ribosomal RNA, 227 nt
Filed under: Cladosporium australiense
Lineage: Eukaryota; Fungi; Ascomycota; Dothideomycetes; Cladosporiales; Cladosporiaceae
Description: partial 28S ribosomal RNA
Rfam family: Eukaryotic large subunit ribosomal RNA
Source: RNAcentral